RNA transcript from Vitis vinifera (wine grape), 2979 nucleotides. RefSeq lists it as uncharacterized. The record is from RefSeq and is a predicted model, not a curated record. The transcript has 2 exons. Lineage: Eukaryota; Viridiplantae; Streptophyta; Magnoliopsida; Vitales; Vitaceae.
UAUUAAAAAUACUGAAUUUUAAAAAUUUUAAAAGCCUACUUUUUAAACCUCCUCCAAAUACGAUUGCAACCCGUCGCCCAACCCUAGCCCACCCAUCCCUUGUAGCUCUCUGCAACCGGCGAUCCCCAACCCUCACCUCAUCCCUGUGUAGCUCAUUGGUUCCACGACCUUCUCAAGGUAAUUUCUUCAUUCUCCUCCUCCAUCGCUCUCCAUCCGAGACUACACAGUUGGAAAGACUCUCCACUUUCAUUCGACAUCGUUGUUUUUUUUUUUUUCUUCUUAAUGUUUGAUUGUCUUAAAAUGUUAGUUAGGGUUUUGGGUUUUAGGAUUUCAAUAGAGCAGUCCAGUCUCAUUUCCCAGUACUUCUCUCUCUAAAACUCUCAUUCUCUAUUCUGGUUCACAUAUGCAAGUGCUCUGUUUAGGGUUUUGAGUUCACGUGUUGCAGGGCCGUUUCUUUUUUAAGGAAGAAAAACUUUGUUUGGUGAUAUCUUGUUAUUUAGAGCCCGUUUGAUAUGGUUGUUGUCUCAUUGUUAUUAGGAUUUUGUGGUUUGUUUGAUUGUUGUGAUUUUUGUGGUUUGUUGGGUUAUUAGGAUUUUAUGGUUUGUUUGAUUGUUGAAACCUAAAGGAAAAUAUAAGAAAAUUUUGGGUUUAAUCUUAUUGAUUUCAUAUUAUAGUUUGUUGGGUAGAGCAUUUGGGCCCAAACUGUUUGUUAGGAUGCCCAUGAGAGUUCUUAAAUCAUGUGGAAUACCCCCCUCCAAAUGAUUGAACGCCACUGAAAGCUGCUGAAGAGAUGAAAGGUUUCCCAAAGUAAAUGGGAUAACCCCUGUUAGACUGUUCCGCCCAAACCUCAGAAUUAGCAGUUUCGACAUAUGGCCAAAGUGGAAGGGAAUCUGCCCCGUCAGAUUGUUCCUUGUCAAGUACUAGCAUAGACACUGCCCCAAGAGAGGUGUUUGAUUAAUUGGGCUUGCAUUUGUUUGCCCUCUUGGAGAGCCAAGGCUUGGGCACAUGAAGUGAGCACAAAACAGAAAGUGUACUCAUUGGGAUAUAGGCCUUAGUGGAGCAGCUUGUGGUAAAAGUGGAGGGAAUCAAGUGGAUGUGAAGUUUGUGAAAAGGCCUUAAUCAUAAUGUUGUAUGAGUAUACAUCAGGGCUUUGUAUUUGCGAAAAUACAACAUAAGCCAGGUGAAUGUUUGGAGGACUCAAAGAGAAUGAACUAGCUACAAGUAAUCUGGUAACCGGAAAAGCAUCACGGGACAUGCCAGUGGUGAUCAUUAGGCAAUGUAUUUGAUUGAAAUGGGCCAUGGUUUGGCAUUUUGAUAGUAAGGAUAAAACAGGGUGGUCUAGAUUUAGGGGAGCACUAGCAAGAUUUUUGGCAUCCUGGAUGUUGGGGGGUUUUUUGAGUCCUCUUCGUAAGGUUGCAGGGGUUUGGAUCAUCCAAAAAUGGCUCCUGCACUUGCCUACUGCAUUGGAGCUAUGCAUCAUCCUGUCCUGAUGUGAAAUAGUUUAGAAGGAUCAGCCUAUCCUGAGCAGCAUGGGCUUUUCUAUACAGACCAUCUGAAUAAGCAACCGCAGUAGCCUUAAUUAGAUAUAUUCAUUUAGGGUCGUGCAGUCCCAUUGUGACAAAGUUUAAUACGUGUCAUUAACAAUUAGAAACCAAUACAUUUUUUAUGGGUUUAGGAUGGGUGUAAUCAUAUUCGGAUCAAAUUUGGAUUGCCCACGUAAUCUAUAUAAGAAGUAGGAAACUUUUGGAUCAACCCACAUAAUACGAAAUUUGAUGGAAUCAGUCCAUUUAAUAAUCAUAUUGAUUAAUCUAAUUACAAUUUUAAACUAUUUAACCAUAUUUUACUCAUUUUAAAUUUGAUUUAAAUAAAUAAAUCAAUUGAAUUAUAAACAUAUCUGGUUUGAACAAAAAUAUCUCAGAUUGAGAUGCUGCAACCGUCGCAAAAGACCAAUGUUAGUGGGGAUAGAACCCUGCAAGUUAUUGUUAGACAACACCAACUCUCCAAGGAAUGUUAAGUUCCCAAUAGGAGGUAAGGAACCAGUUAAGCUCUGACCCUCUGAUGUCUCCGACUGCAUGUAACCCCCUGCCACUGGCAGAAAUGCAGAGAGUCGUUCCAGGAACUCAGUGCUCCAUGUGGAACAUCAACCAGAUGAUUCUUGAAGACAAGCAAUGCAAGCUGAAAAUAAUCUGAAAACAACAGGAAAAUAGUUUUCUGUUUUCACUGUUUUUAAAAACAGUUUCCAAAGUGGCUUUAUUUUCAAGAACAAAAUUUUAUUUGGAACUCACAUAUGAAAAACAAAUUGUCCACUUUAUUUUUAAUGAAGGGUGCUAUACACUUACUAUUUAUAAUACAAAAGUUCAAAAUUUGGGCCGGCCCAGGACCAGGCCCAGCCCAUAUUACCUGACUGAACUCAUAUACCAUCCCUCCAAACUCUGCGUCUUGGUCGAUACCCAUGGAAGGUGCCGCGAUCGCUAUUUACACAACCUCCAAAUGCUGCGCCUCAGUCGAUUUCUAAGUUCAAGGUACUUGUGAUAUAAUGGGUGGUCUUCCUACUGAACAGCCCGCCUCUGCCUUAACUUUGGCAGGGUUGCAGCAAACGCGGGGAUCUGAGCCUGUGUCGAAGCCCAAAAAGAAAAUCUGCUGUGCCUGCCCUGAUACUAAGAAGAUCCGAGACGAUUGCAUUGUGGAGCAUGGUGAAGCUGCUUGUGAAAAAUGGAUUGAAGCUCAUCGUAGAUGCCUUCGGGCUGAGGGGUUCAAAGUUUGAAAUUUGGCAAAAGAUUGCAGAUUUGAUAAACUGAAAAUGAAAAAGUUUUGAUACCCAAAUUGUUUACAUCAGGAUUUUACUUAAAUGGUCAGACUUGUCAAUGAAACUUCAGGUUCAGGAAUAAAGCCAUGCUGGGGAACUUUGUUUACUGUUACAUUGAAAUAAUUGAUUACUAAUUUAUUCUUAACUAUAGGGGUUGUUCCCCCUUACAGAAA